UCCACACACCCAGACGUGUGAUGCUGGAAUCCAUACACGAGCCCGGGUAUUGCAUCGAUGCUUGCAGGCUCCGAGAAGAAAGGACGUGUUUGCCUCCGGGAAGAGGAUCUCUCUAGUUAGGAGCAGAGGAGAAAAAAGGCAAAAGCUGGUGAAGCUUUAGCACCUGCCUCAAGCAUAGUUCAGCUGAUGAGAAACACCAGUCAGUGCUCUCAGCAAGGGACCUGAUUCCAACCAUCACGCUUGGACUGAGACAGGUAUGAGGUGUGAAUAGCACAGUGCUUUCUCCCCUUCAUGCUGGUCAUACUCUGCUACCUCCUGAUCUUGAUGCAGGACUCUUAUGAUUCCCAUACAACCAUCUCAUAUCAAAGCCAAGUGGAUAAUACCCCAUAUACAUCAUCAUCACAGGGAAACAUUCAGGCUAGAAUCCAACAACGCAAACACCAGCCAGAAAGCUGCUGUUUUCUUCUUAACACUUGUUAUCAGUGAGCUGUGUAUGCUUGGGGAGCAAAGCACGGUGACAGUGCCUUGUCACACUGGCAAGACAGGAUCGUGUUCAGGACUGCGUAAGGUGAAGAGCACAAGAGUACAGCACCUUCAGCAGAGUGAAUCAGAACCUCGUGGGACCAGACCUUUAUCUUCUUGGUGGAUGCAACUAUCAAUUGAUAGCUCAGAGCGGAUGUUGCUGUCGUGGUCUGGUCCUUCGGUGGGAGAAAAACACCUCUGCUGCUUUGAAAAGGCGACUCCUGGAGCCUGUGGCUGGUCAUGCUGCAUGUCGAGGCACGUGAUGAGAUCUCUGGAGAGGCUGGUCACAGGGAGCUGA
RNAcentral lists this long non-coding RNA (820 nucleotides) under Anser cygnoides (Swan goose). Its description in RNAcentral is "lncRNA (ENSACDG00005014127.1)". Lineage: Eukaryota; Metazoa; Chordata; Aves; Anseriformes; Anatidae. The record is from RNAcentral.